This 796-nucleotide ribosomal RNA is filed under the name Lepeophtheirus salmonis (salmon louse). RNAcentral's name for it is "partial 16S ribosomal RNA". The record is from RNAcentral. Lineage: Eukaryota; Metazoa; Arthropoda; Copepoda; Siphonostomatoida; Caligidae.
AAAAUAUCUAUCCUCCCUCUAAGCCUAGGUAGAAAACUAAGUUAUAAGACAAGGAUGAACACGAUAUAUGGUACUUUUUAAAAUCUGGUUCCCAAAGAAAUAAAACAUUUUAAAAAGAAUUUUAAAAUAAUGUAUUUAGCUUAUGCUGAGUAUAUAUUAGUGAGCAACUAAUUUAAAAAUAUUUAAGGAAUAAUAGUCCCCUCUGUUAUAAUAAAUUACUAUUGACCUAAUUUAUUUAUUAAGCUUCUCUUCUUAUUUGGGUAAUUAAUUCUAAGAAUUAGAACUUGUUUACACUAGUAAAUAUACUUUUAUUAUUUUCUUACUUAAAUAAGUUUUAUCAAUUUUAAAUUAAAUAUAAACUAAAUCACUUGAGAUUCUCCAAACUGUUUAACAAAGACCUAGUAAGACUGUGUCUUAUGUAUCUGCCCAAUGAAUAAUUUUUUAUGGCUUUAAAGUAGCGCAAUAAUUAGUUUAUUAAUUGUAAACCUGUAUGAAGCUAGCAUUGGUUAAUCAUGUUUAUUCUUAUCUGUUGAAUCUUAGUUAUCAGUACAAACGCUGAUAUGCUCCCCGAAGACGAUAAGACCCUAAGACCUUCACCUUGUUUGGCUGGGAUAGCCUACUUAAUAUAAUAAAGAAACCUUAAUUAUUACGAACCGAUUAUUUUGCUAUACAUAGGUACCUUAGGGAUAACAGCGCGUAAUACUUUUAGAGCUCUUAUUUAAAAGAUAUUCGUGACCUCGAUGUUGAAUUAAGUAAUAUAGUGCUGCAGAAGGUGCUAUUUUAAGUCUGUUCGACU